UAAUAAUAUCUAAAAUAAUAUUUUACUCAGAAAAAUAAUUUCAAUUUUUAAAAUUAAAAUUCAAUGUCAAACAAGACUAAUUUGCAUCCCAUUGUCACUCACCCAACCCAAUUCCAGGAGAGCUCACCCUUAAUUUCAUAGGCCAAUUCCCUAACUUAAAAUUCAAUGAUACUGUUUACCUUCUAUUUCUUCCCUACUGUAUACGAUCUGAGUAGAGCAACAGCUUAAAAAAUCAAAAUCAAGCACACCCACCUACAUGCAGAAUGAGAGGACCAGAGAGGAGAGAUGAUCUCCACCGAUGAUCAGUUUCACUAACUCCAUCAUGGUCAAAUCACAAACUACUGAUCUUACGGUCAAUGAUGACUCCAACGCCAAAUAUCAUCAAUCUUUCAAAAACUACAAUUCAAACAACCGUUGGAUCAAAAAAGUGAAAAAAAGAAAUUACCCCUUAAAAAACAAUCCCGACGAUUCUAUCAAUUCUCUUUUUGGGAACCGCCGUAUACCUGAAGAUUCUGUGCAGAAAAGCACGUAGGAAGCCUUCUCUGCAACAGCAACCCACAAAACAGCCCUCCAUCGUCCGAUGAUGACCUCAAAUGAUUCGUUCCCGCCAAAUCUCUAAGUCCGUUCCAGUCCUUCAAUGCCGUUGAAGCAGCUGAAGAUGAAGAAGUCGUGGAGUCGGCACCAUCAGAGAAAUCUCCCGAAUCUCCACAAGAAUUUUCGCCGUGUGUAUCCUCUUCCAUCGAAAUCGACUUCUUUAAAUCACGAUGCCGCAGAUGAUGAAUACUCUCCCCCAUAAGAUCACGAUAACCAAUAGCCGAUGCUCCAUUUAGGGUCGCGAAAUCAGAGCCGUCGUUGAUGAUAGCACCGAUGUUGAGCACCCCUUGGAAUCUUCCAGACGGACGACGAAUCUGUAGAGCAAUGAAGGAGGGAGUUCUCAUUUCUUUGGUGGGGGAAAAGACUGGGAUGUUGCUGAUAAAGAAACGGACGGUGCCGAGGAGUGGAUCACGGAGGCAACCGACGGCAUAGAUUUCAAAUGAAACACCGGAGGUCUCGCUAGAAAGGAAUUCAGGAGUGACUUUGAAGAGGAACUUGUCGUUCCAAGUCGGGUUCUCGCCGCCGACUCGGUCGAUUCGGGUUCGGAGCUUGGUGGAGGAAUCGACCCAAACCACUGCAUACGUUUGCAACCGGCGUAGGUUAGCAGAUGGCGGCUUUAGACUUUGGGCAGAGAUCAAGUUGAUCUCUAGAAUCUUCGUCUCCAUCUUCGUCUCUCUCUCUCUCUAUUUCUUUCUUGAUUUUGCUAGGAAAUGGACGAUUCUGAAAUGAUCAAGAAAGAAGAAAGAUUGACUAAUGGUUCUGACUAAAACCAAGAAAAGGGUACUGACGGCGAUACAUGGUGGCCGCAAUUUAUGCCGCUCGCCGGAGUAGCGAGGAGGAAAAGGGAGAAGAGGGAAGUGAUGGUUGAAACUUGAAACUAUAGCGAUGGAAUGACGAAAAUAACCUUAGUUUGGGGGUGAUGUAGGGGUAUUUAGCAGUUGACGAAUUUUGAGACUAGUGGCACCGUGGCAAAGUAUGAUACGUGAUCCAGCAUCCCAAUGGGUUGUUAAGUUCUCUUGGAAUUUUUGAUUCACUGGAGGAGCCGUAUCUUGACAGACAGAUGAACAAAAGGAAGGCCCACCCAAGGAAUGUUGUUAAGUUCAUAAUUUGAAAAUUUAACACGAGCUAUUGGGCCUUUGGCAGUAGAAAGCCCACUAAUUUUAAAGUAAUUUUUCUUUUCUUUUUUUUUUGGAAUAUUAA
This 1794-nucleotide unclassified non-coding RNA is filed under the name Hevea brasiliensis (rubber tree). Lineage: Eukaryota; Viridiplantae; Streptophyta; Magnoliopsida; Malpighiales; Euphorbiaceae. The record is from RNAcentral.